RNAcentral lists this ribosomal RNA (400 nucleotides) under uncultured bacterium. RNAcentral's name for it is "bacterial SSU rRNA". It matches the Rfam family "Bacterial small subunit ribosomal RNA", at positions 355 to 760 of the family's 1533-position model. The record is from RNAcentral.
UGGGGAAUUUUGCGCAAAGGGGGAAACCCUGACGCAGCGACGCCGCGUGGAGGAUGACGGCCUUCGGGUUGUAAACUCCUGUCAGAAGGGACGAAAUCCCGCAAGGGACUGACGGUACCUUCAGAGGAAGCCCCGGCUAACUACGUGCCAGCAGCCGCGGUAAUACGUAGGGGGCAAGCGUUGCUCGGAAUUACUGGGCGUAAAGGGUGAGUAGGCGGUCGAGCAAGUCAAGGACGAAAUCCCGAGGCUCAACUUCGGAAUUGUUCUUGAAACUGUUCGGCUUGAGGGUAGUUGAGGAGAGUGGAAUUCCCGGUGGAGCGGUGAAAUGCGUAGAUAUCGGGAGGAACACCUGAGGCGAAGGCGGCUCUCUAAGCCUAUCCUGACGCUGAAUCACGAAAGC